GCCGCAGCUUACCAUGCAAGUCGAACGAACUCUUCGGAGUUAGUGGCAGACGGGUGAGUAACGCGUGGGAAUAUACCUUUCGGUACGGAACAACAGUUGGAAACGACUGCUAAUACCGUAUGCGCCCUAUGGGGGAAAGAUUUAUCGCCGAAGGAUUAGCCCGCGUUGGAUUAGCUAGUUGGUGGGGUAAAGGCCUACCAAGGCGACGAUCCAUAGCUGGUCUGAGAGGAUGAUCAGCCACACUGGGACUGAGACACGGCCCAGACUCCUACGGGAGGCAGCAGUGGGGAAUAUUGGACAAUGGGGGCAACCCUGAUCCAGCCAUGCCGCGUGAGUGAUGAAGGCCCUAGGGUUGUAAAGCUCUUUCAGCGAGGAGGAUAAUGACGUUACUCGCAGAAGAAGCCCCGGCUAACUUCGUGCCAGCAGCCGCGGUAAUACGAAGGGGGCUAGCGUUGUUCGGAAUCACUGGGCGUAAAGCGCACGUAGGCGGAUUGGUCAGUUAGGGGUGAAAUCCCAGAGCUCAACUCUGGAACUGCCUUUAAUACUGCCAGUCUUGAGUCCGAGAGAGGUGAGUGGAACUCCGAGUGUAGAGGUGAAAUU
This 600-nucleotide ribosomal RNA is filed under the name Labrenzia sp. RNAcentral's name for it is "bacterial SSU rRNA". It matches the Rfam family "Bacterial small subunit ribosomal RNA", at positions 39 to 688 of the family's 1533-position model. Lineage: Bacteria; Pseudomonadati; Pseudomonadota; Alphaproteobacteria; Hyphomicrobiales; Stappiaceae. The record is from RNAcentral.